Molecule: ribosomal RNA, 492 nt
Filed under: uncultured bacterium
Lineage: Bacteria
Description: partial 16S ribosomal RNA
Rfam family: Bacterial small subunit ribosomal RNA
Source: RNAcentral
AGUGAACGCUGGCGGUAGGCCUAACACAUGCAAGUCGAACGGCAGCACAGUAAGAGCUUGCUCUUACGGGUGGCGAGUGGCGGACGGGUGAGGAAUACAUCGGAAUCUACUUUUUCGUGGGGGAUAACGUAGGGAAACUUACGCUAAUACCGCAUACGACCUACGGGUGAAAGCAGGGGAUCUUCGGACCUUGCGCGAUUGAAUGAGCCGGUGUCGGAUUAGCUAGUUGGCGGGGUAAAGGCCCACCAAGGCGACGAUCCGUAGCUGGUCUGAGAGGAUGAUCGGCCACACUGGAACUGAGACACGGUCCAGACUCCUACGGGAGGCAGCAGUAGGGAAUAUUGGGCAAUGGGCGCAAGCCUGAUGCAGCAAUACCGCGUGAGUGAAGAAGGCCUUCGGGUUGUAAAGCCCUUUUGUUGGGAAAGAAAAGCAGCGGAUUAAUACCCCGCUGUUCUGACGGUACCCAAAGAGUAAGCACCGGCUAACUUCGUG